This 43-nucleotide transfer RNA is filed under the name Parthenium hysterophorus. RNAcentral's name for it is "partial tRNA-Leu". The record is from RNAcentral. Lineage: Eukaryota; Viridiplantae; Streptophyta; Magnoliopsida; Asterales; Asteraceae.
UAGACGCUACGGACUUWAAAAAUCCGUCGAUUUCAAAAAUCAU